Non-coding RNA from Zonotrichia albicollis (white-throated sparrow), 899 nucleotides. The record is from RefSeq and is a predicted model, not a curated record. NCBI's taxonomy places the organism in Eukaryota, Metazoa, Chordata, Aves, Passeriformes, Passerellidae.
AGGAAGGGCAAGGAGUAGUAAAUUUUCCAGUACUCUGGUAGAUGUACCUGUGGUUAUACAGUGGUGUACAGGGGCCUGAGUAAAUAUAUGUAUUGCAGUGAAAGAUCUCUGUAUUGUAUUAGUGACCCUGCCCCAAUUCUAGUUAUUGUAAAUUGGCUGCAGCUGUGAUGUCCUUAAUUGGGCAGCAGCUGUAGCCCAUGGAGGUAGCUGGGAUAAAAGAGGGUGGGUUGGGCAGCCAGGGAGAGCCUUGGAGGAUCCCUGAUGAAGCAGGAAUAACACUACUGUGAAGAGUUGCAUAUGAGAAAACCACCCAGAAGAGAAAAUAUGGAGACUGACAAAGACAGUGAAGAAAAGCUGUACUGAGCCCUGAUCCUGAGCAGGAAAAAGCAUGCAACAUAUUUCUGAAACAAAGUGGUUCUGCUGGAUUAAGACAUAUUGCUAGAAAAUAAGAGCUUUCUCCAAGUCCGACCAGGAUGUAGCUGGCAUUUACUGAUCAUCAGAACAGAUUGCAGUGGAUUCUGGUUUGUUGUCACGGUGCUAGCCAGAGAGGAAGAGCUAUGGUGCAUAGACCUUACCCACAUUCCCACAAAUGUGAACCAUGCCCCAUAUGUGCAAGGAUUAUCAAAAAUAUCAUAGCCUUGGCAAUGGACUCACAUAACUUCAAUCAGUUCAACUGAUUAAGGAAGAGAAGGCCAACCAGGUUUUAAUAGUUUAAAAAAUCCCCUGUAAAUCUUUAAACUUGAAUUCUGAUAAAGAUUUAGAGUUUGCCAGACUCAUUAAAGGCUGAAACAUGCGCCAUUCCUUUUAUAAUCUACAAGGACCUGAAAAUAUGUUUGUAAAUGUCCAGAUAAAUGAAAUGUAGUUUUUGUAAUGAAAAUAAAUAAACAAGGAAAAGCAGG